This 497-nucleotide ribosomal RNA is filed under the name uncultured bacterium. Its description in RNAcentral is "partial 16S ribosomal RNA". It matches the Rfam family "Bacterial small subunit ribosomal RNA", at positions 28 to 507 of the family's 1533-position model. The record is from RNAcentral.
GACGAACGCUGGCGGCGUGCCUAAUACAUGCAAGUUGAGCGCUGAAGGUUGGUACUUGUACCAACUGGAUGAGCAGCGAACGGGUGAGUAACGCGUGGGGAAUCUGCCUUUGAGCGGGGGACAACAUUUGGAAACGAAUGCUAAUACCGCAUAAAAACUUUAAACACAAGUUUUAAGUUUGAAAGAUGCAAUUGCAUCACUCAAAGAUGAUCCCGCGCUGUAUUAGCUAGUUGGUGAGGUAAAGGCUCACCAAGGCGAUGAUACAUAGCCGACCUGAGAGGGUGAUCGGCCACAUUGGGACGGAGACACGGCCCAAACUCCUACGGGAGGCAGCAGUAGGGAAUCUUCGGCAAUGGACGAAAGUCUGACCGAGCAACGCCGCGUGAGUGAAGAAGGUUUUCGGAUCGUAAAACUCUGUUGGUAGAGAAGAACGUUGGUGAGAGUGGAAAGCUCAUCAAGUGACGGUAACUACCCAGAAAGGGACGGCUAACUACGUG